RNAcentral lists this ribosomal RNA (253 nucleotides) under uncultured bacterium. RNAcentral describes it as "partial 16S ribosomal RNA". It matches the Rfam family "Bacterial small subunit ribosomal RNA", at positions 524 to 776 of the family's 1533-position model. The record is from RNAcentral.
UACGAAGGGUGCAAGCGUUACUCGGAAUUACUGGGCGUAAAGCGUGCGUAGGUGGUUUGUUAAGUCUGAUGUGAAAGCCCUGGGCUCAACCUGGGAAUGGCAUUGGAAACUGGCGGCCUAGAGUGCGGUAGAGGGUAGUGGAAUUCCCGGUGUAGCAGUGAAAUGCGUAGAGAUCGGGAGGAACAUCCGUGGCGAAGGCGACUACCUGGACCGGCACUGACACUGAGGCACGAAAGCGUGGGGAGCAAACAGG